This 394-nucleotide ribosomal RNA is filed under the name uncultured bacterium. Its description in RNAcentral is "bacterial SSU rRNA". It matches the Rfam family "Bacterial small subunit ribosomal RNA", at positions 97 to 478 of the family's 1533-position model. The record is from RNAcentral.
GGCGGACGGGUGAGUAACACGUGGGUAACCUACCUAUAAGACUGGAAUAACUCCGGGAAACCGGGGCUAAUGCCGGAUAACAUGUUGAACCGCAUGGUUCAACAGUGAAAGACGGUCUUGCUGUCACUUAUAGAUGGACCCGCGCCGUAUUAGCUAGUUGGUGGGGUAACGGCCUACCAAGGCGACGAUACGUAGCCGACCUGAGAGGGUGAUCGGCCACACUGGAACUGAGACACGGUCCAGACUCCUACGGGAGGCAGCAGUAGGGAAUCUUCCGCAAUGGGCGAAAGCCUGACGGAGCAACGCCGCGUGAGUGAUGAAGGUCUUCGGAUCGUAAAGCUCUGUUGUUAGGGAAGAACAAAUGUGUAAGUAACUGUGCACGUCUUGACGGUAC